Gymnogyps californianus (California condor) is the source of this 431-nucleotide non-coding RNA. The record is from the annotation of a RefSeq genome assembly. NCBI's taxonomy places the organism in Eukaryota, Metazoa, Chordata, Aves, Accipitriformes, Cathartidae.
CAUGGCGCCCGGGCUGGGGCCGUGGCUGCUGGCCUUGUCCUUGGCCGCGGGGCCGGCAGGUGCAUCUCAGGGUGAUGAGAUCCAGGCGACGAGGUCUACAGUGUGGUGGCGAGCAGGGAAUACCGGGACCUUACGAUGCACUUACAGCUCCAACGCCUCCUAUAUUUACGUGGCCUGGUAUCGGCAGCGUCCCGGUGGACCGCUGCAGUACUUGCUGCAGAGCAAGGGCCGAGGCGGCUCCUACAGCCACACAGCCCCUUUUGCCCGCAAGAGGUUUUCCUGCCAGGCUGACAAGAUCUCCGGGACGCUGAUCAUCACCGGGCUGGAACUGGGGGACAGUGCGCUCUAUUACUGCACCCUGCAGGGACCACAAUGAGAGACACUUGGGGCGUGCCUGACCGCCAUCAGCUUCGUCCCCUCCUGCAUGUUCA